GAGAAUUGAAAAGGUGUUUGAUUCCUAAUUGAUACCCUUUCAAUUAAUGUAUGCCAUAUGCGGCUCAACAUUCCACUUCUGUUGCGCUUCUUUUUCACGAUUCAGUCAUAACAAUAAGGAAUGGUAAAACGCUUCAAUUUCUGAGAGAAUGAAAUUAAGGUGUAAAUUUCUCUCCUGAGAUGCAGAAGACGACAACAAAAACAUUUUCAGAAUUUUUCUUCUUCAUCAUCUUCGAUUUUUCAGAAAAGAGCACGAAUUGCACGAAAAAGGUAGGCCAAAACCCUAAUUCUCCAAUUCGUAUUUUUUUACAAGAUUAUUAGUUUUCAUUAUUUUAUCGUCACAACUGAGUUAUGAUUUGACGUUGUUACUUUCUUAUACACUUCUCAAAACUUUUGAAAAAUCAUGGCUUCGAGAUUUUGGACUCAGGGUGUGAGUGAUUUAGAAGAGGAGGAACAAAGUGAUUAUGAUAAGGAAAUUGAAAUUGCAGCAGUUGAAUCUGCUGUAACUCAAGGCAAUAAAAUCACUUAUUACCUUCAGAGUAAUGCUAUUGACAGUGAUGAUGAGGAUGCUCACAAGCGUGUUGUUAAAUCUACAAAAGAUAAGUGAUUUGAUGAGAUGGCUUCUAAGAUAUUGCUAUUUAUAUUUAAUAGAUUCAAAUUGUUUUUGUUGUUCUCCUACGACUUAGAGUCUGUGGGUUUUGUGUAUUAUUCAGUUUCAGUUUAAGCUAAAGUCUAAUAUGACGUUGGGUUCUUUAAGUUUAAUAUUCAGUUUAAGCUAAAGCUAAAGUUUAAUUCAAUGAAAAUAUGAAAUGUGAAAGCUUAAUUUCCUUUUAGAUGAUGGGUUUCGAAGUUUCUUUCCAUUAAAAAUUGGUGAUUUUCCAGUUGAUUUUGUAUUUGGUUCAGGAACGCCUGCUUAUCAAGUGGAAUGAGCUGCCAAUGAGGAUGGAAGAACUCCUAGCGUUUGGAAUACCUUUGCUCAUGCUGGUUCGGUUAUCAAUUCAAUCCUUAUUUUGCUCAUGUUUCAUCUAAUCAUUCAUCCCAUUAAUCAAUUUUAUAAUAUAAUUUGUUGCUGCAAUUUAAGGGUUUGCACAUGGUGGAAAUGGUGAUGUAGUCUGCGACGCGUACCUUUACUACAUAUUAUCCAUACCAAAUCUGAAAUUUUAUGUUUUUUUACAUUUUUGCAAAUGUAUUUAUUUCUCCUCAAAUGGUAGAGACCCGUCAAUCUGAAGGGACUUAGUACUACAACAAUCUCAUCAAUGAACUCAUUGUCGAUGGUUCGAUACAAGUUCUUAUUAUGUUGCAACAUAAAUACAAAAAAGUUAUAUGAAUUAUAUUUAUGCUAUGUGAAUUAUUUUUUCAUUGUUUGAGGUAAGAUAUGAUGAAGAUGUUAGGAAAUAAUUUGGCGUCUUCCAUUUGUUUUAUAAAUUGCCUAAUGCAAUUGUUAUUGAUGAUUUCAGAGAUUUCUGCGACAACAAGUAAUUUAUUUGGUUUUAACAUAUUAUGAAUUCCAUAAACAUGUUUUCUUUGUUUUCUAAUUCUUCUUUUGGUUUUGAAUUCUGAUAUGUAAAUGGUAUGUCAAAAACGGUAUUCUAAGGCCUGCAGGCGAGAGGACAAAAAAGAACCACUACUAUGAUCUUCGUCAACAGGAGCCCUUGGAAGCUUGAACGACGAUAGUUCAUCUUAAGUAGAUAUGAUACGUUGGUGUUUAAAGGGAAAGGCGUUUGUGACGUUCAGCUUAACACUGCAGAGGCAGAGGGAGAUCAGAAUUAGCAAAGUGAUGCAAAAGGUUGACACAUAUUUUUUCGAAUUCUCGAGGUCUUUGAGGACUAUGGAUCAUCUGCAACAGGAUGUGCAAUUUACCCUUGGUGGGUUAAGCAAGAUGUGCGUCGCAUUCUGGUAUCCAAUAGAAGGCCAACCAUAGCACGCUUUGGGACAUUAUUCGAUUAACUGUGAUAAGGUUACAAUUGAUAUAUUGAGCAGUUCCGCUUCUUUGAGUGGCAAGUUAGUAGGUACAACUUCAAGUAGUUCAUGGAAUAUUGCAAGUGCAUUUUCACUUAUACUUUCUGUAGUAGCAAUAUGUGUGUCUCUGUUUGUGAAUUAUAGAGUUUUGCAUCCCAAGGGUGUUCUGUUUAUGAGUUAACAGCUUGAGUUUGGGAUUGUACUUGUACUAAACAGGUUUGUAGUACUAAAAUGUUUAGUGAUUUCACUUGGUUUA
This is a long non-coding RNA of Vicia villosa (hairy vetch), 2214 nucleotides long. RefSeq lists it as uncharacterized. The record is from RefSeq and is a predicted model, not a curated record. Lineage: Eukaryota; Viridiplantae; Streptophyta; Magnoliopsida; Fabales; Fabaceae. The transcript is spliced from 5 exons.